UACGGGGGGGGCAAGCGUUGUUCGGAAUUACUGGGCGUAAAGGGCUCGUAGGUGGCCAACUAAGUCAGACGUGAAAUCCCUCAGCUUAACUGGGGAAUUGCGUCUGAUACUGGAUGGCUUGAGUUUGGGAGAGGGAUGCGGAAUUCCAGGUGUAGCGGUGAAAUGCGUAGAUAUCUGGAGGAAGACCAGUGGCGAAGGCGGGUCUCUGGACAGUUCCUGACGCUGAGGCACGAAGGCCAGGGGAGCAAACGGG
Molecule: ribosomal RNA, 253 nt
Filed under: uncultured bacterium
Lineage: Bacteria
Description: partial 16S ribosomal RNA
Rfam family: Bacterial small subunit ribosomal RNA
Source: RNAcentral